RNAcentral lists this ribosomal RNA (270 nucleotides) under uncultured bacterium. Its description in RNAcentral is "partial 16S ribosomal RNA". It matches the Rfam family "Bacterial small subunit ribosomal RNA", at positions 84 to 353 of the family's 1533-position model. The record is from RNAcentral.
UUUGAUGGCGACCGGCGCACGGGUGAGUAACACGUAUCCAACCUGCCGAUGACUCGGGGAUAGCCUUUCGAAAGAAAGAUUAAUACCCGAUGGCAUAGUUCUUCCGCAUGGUAGAACUAUUAAAGAAUUUCGAUCAUCGAUGGGGAUGCGUUCCAUUAGGUUGUUGGCGGGGUAACGGCCCACCAAGCCUUCGAUGGAUAGGGGUUCUGAGAGGAAGGUCCCCCACAUUGGAACUGAGACACGGUCCAAACUCCUACGGGAGGCAGCAUG